Molecule: long non-coding RNA, 1062 nt
Organism: Bolinopsis microptera
Lineage: Eukaryota; Metazoa; Ctenophora; Tentaculata; Lobata; Bolinopsidae
Exons: 5
Source: RefSeq, a predicted model, not a curated record
UUAAAACGCGUUAAAUUUUUAAAUGAAUAUAUUUUCUAGUCAUUUAAGUUAAUCGACGAGGUCGUCUCUAUUUCAGCAGGGAGGUGUAAGGAACCUCGAAAUUCUAUAUUAAUUUCAAUCUUCCUUUAAAGAUAGUUAAAUGACUUAGGCUUAUAGUUAACAACCAUUUCCAUAGAGGAUAGAUAGUAAAUUUGUUAACGAUAGAAGUAUACCAGAAAUGGAAUAUACGUUGACGUUUAAUUAACAAAAGGACACUUUCUGUGAGAAAACUAUCAAAUCAUUUGACACGCUUGAUGAGUUACCACGGACUUAUGGAGGGGUUAAUUAGGAGCACAAGACCAGCCUAUCACAAGACGAAGCGUGACGAGGAAUGAUAAGCAGGGAGUUUAAACAAGGAGGAGCAAUUUCGAUCGUGAUGAACAAUACUGCGUUCCCUGAGAAAAGGCUGGAACGGCAGAAUAGACUCUGGGAAAUUCAGGGAGAUAUAGCGGAGAACGAUCGAAGGACCGAUGUCUUUCUCACGUCAGGGCAGUCUGUUAGGUUGUGUCAGUGCAACGUGCUUGUAAACAGAGUCCAGUAAGCCGGUUCCGCCCGGGUGCUUUAACCUUUCCAGUCAUAAGUAUUCCAGUUGCAGUGGAUCCGAUCCGUCACAUCGAAUAGAUUCCCCCGUACAUUAAAGAACAGUGACUAGUAAGUUUCCGGGUAAAAGUAAGCUAACGACGAUAAGAUUCCCGAUCUCCUUCUCACUUGAAGGACCAUUAUACGGAUUGAAGUUGUUCUCGAGGUAGAGAGACACGAACAUUCCUGCUCAAACCGUGCUGCCUUUGCCGAUACCUGCUAGAAUAAUUGAUUCUCCUUCGUCAACCGAGACCAUUCGUGACAGUCAAACUGUUGACGGUGAGACUCAGUCAAAGACGCGUGAUAUUCCAGCCCUCCUACACUAUUUCUCAGAGAGAGACUUAUCAAAAGGUGAUUGCACCAACAUAGACUUAGAGUUCCUUUAAAUAGGUUAUGAGAAGAAUUUCUACCGUGUCAAUUAAUUAGUAUAGUAUCAAAAGGUUA